AGCCAACAUCCCAGCUCACUGGAAACAAACCGACAUACCUACUAAAAAAGAAUGGAUCCACAGGGUGGAAGAGAUCCAAGGAGCAGAAGCAGCAUACGCCACUCUAACAGGUCGGGAGACCAGGCACGCAGAGAGGUGGACGCCGUGGUUCUUGUACAUAUCUCGCUACCGCAGUAAUGGAGGUGCACCGGGGCCCGAAGUGGGGGCACGGCCUGACGCGAGCUAAGCCAGAGGGAUCAUACCCUGUGUAACCUGCUUACCCCUACCCCUUGCCCUUCCCACUCUCUUAUCCUUCUUGCCGGCGGGUGGGGGGCCGGGCCCGGGGCUGGGGGGAUCUGCUGAGGGCGCUUUGCGGAACUACAAACAACACCUUACACUGGGAGAGUCACAAGGGACCUGGACACUACACCAAUUGAGGUACUAUGACUCAGGAUAACUCAUUAUAGACGGGAGAUACUUGGAUAUCAAGCGGGACGAACACAUGGCAAGUUACUUGAUGAACAUCCCAAACCGGAUAGACCUGUGACACCUUUCACUCUUGCACAGUAGUAACACCCACAUCACACAACACUUUGACACUUCUCUCAUGAUAUACAGGAGAGGGAAGCCCCAAGCACUUUUUUUUAGACACAGAGGCACAUGGUCGCUACGCGAGCUCAGCAUAGAGUUACGGUUGAGGGAAAAUCGAUGGGUCAGAUGAGGGGCCCAGGUUGGUUGCUGGUCCCGACUUCCGGGUUGGCCUAGCAAUCAGGGUUCCCAUCACACAACAUGUUGCCACACCCACCGUACCUAGAGUAAAGCACAGGUACCAUUAACGAUAACCGGCUUCAUAACAAAUACCUCAUCUGAGAGAUGAGAAAUACAUAUAGGUGUUUUCUAUAAUAAACUUCAUAUAAAAGGUUGGGCUCGACAGAAGUAACCCCGGGAAUACUCCAUGCUCAUUGCUCACCAACCACGACUAUAACAAGAGAUUUGGCCUAGUGCACAAGACCUCCCAUGUUCAUUUAUAAUACCCUGCUGAAUGUAAACUAAUGGGCAACUGGGCUCAGUCACCUAACUGGCAAGUAUAGACACUAUCAUGACCAACUUGGUAGCGACAACCUAAGGUUUAAUAUACUUAUGUUUGAUUUGAAUUCUUAUACGUAUAUACACAGACCUGCGUGUCUUGCUCUGUUAUUGUCGAU
Molecule: long non-coding RNA, 1184 nt
Filed under: Pelobates cultripes (western spadefoot toad)
Lineage: Eukaryota; Metazoa; Chordata; Amphibia; Anura; Pelobatidae
Source: RNAcentral